Molecule: small nucleolar RNA, 89 nt
Organism: Panthera pardus (leopard)
Lineage: Eukaryota; Metazoa; Chordata; Mammalia; Carnivora; Felidae
Gene: SNORD14
Rfam family: Small nucleolar RNA SNORD14
About the family: U14 small nucleolar RNA (U14 snoRNA) is required for early cleavages of eukaryotic precursor rRNAs. In yeasts, this molecule possess a stem-loop region (known as the Y-domain) which is essential for function. A similar structure, but with a different consensus sequence, is found in plants, but is absent in vertebrates.
Source: Ensembl
UCACUCUGUUGAUAAGCACCAGCAUUGGCAGUUUCCUCCAGAACGGUUUUCCUUAGUGCUGGGUAAACCAACCUUGGAUGUCUGAGUGA